This 646-nucleotide ribosomal RNA is filed under the name Nasutitermes princeps. RNAcentral's name for it is "partial 16S ribosomal RNA". The stretch from base 1 to 545 matches the Rfam family "Bacterial large subunit ribosomal RNA", at positions 1924 to 2925 of the family's 2925-position model. The record is from RNAcentral. Lineage: Eukaryota; Metazoa; Arthropoda; Insecta; Blattodea; Termitidae.
GGAAGGGCCGCGGUAUUUUGACCGUGCAAAGGUAGCAUAAUCAUUAGUUCUUUAAUUGUGAUCUGGUAUGAAUGGCUUGACGAGACAUAGGCUGUCUUAGAGGCAUUGGUUUAUUGAAUUUGGUUUUUGAGUUAAAAUUCUUAAAUGUUUUUAUGGGACGAGAAGACCCUAUAGAGUUUGACAGGUUUCUUGUUUGUUCGUUGUUUGUUUUGAUGUUUGUAUUGAGCGGGAAUAACUGUUUUGUUGGGGUGAUGGGAGGAAUAAUAUUUAACUCCUCUUUGUUUUAGUAUAUUUAUGUAUGUUUUUUUGAUCCAUUUAUUUUGAUUAUAAGAUUAAAUUACCUUAGGGAUAACAGCGUUAUCUUCCUUGAGAGUUCUUAUUGGCGGGGAGGUUUGCGACCUCGAUGUUGGAUUAAGGUGAAUUUUCGGUGCAGGAGCUGAAAGUGAUUAGGUCUGUUCGACCUUUAAAAUCUUACAUGAUCUGAGUUCAGACCGGCGUGAGCCAGGUUGGUUUCUAUCUAUAGAAUUGUUUUAUACCUUAGUACGAGAGGACCGGGUAUUUGGAAUAAGUUUCAGUUAUUACAUUGGGUUUUGUUAAUGUUUUUACUAUUUUGGCAGAUAAGUGCAUUGGAUUUAGAAUCUAUUAA